This 605-nucleotide ribosomal RNA is filed under the name uncultured bacterium. Its description in RNAcentral is "bacterial SSU rRNA". It matches the Rfam family "Bacterial small subunit ribosomal RNA", at positions 60 to 672 of the family's 1533-position model. The record is from RNAcentral.
AGUCGAACGAGAACCGCUCGUCUCGUAAGAGACGGACGGGGACAGUGGCGAACGGGUGCGUAACACGUGAGAAACCUGCCCCGAAGAUCGGGAUAGCCCGGGGAAACCCGGAUUAAUACCGGAUACCCUCGUGGGGUCGCAUGACCUCGCAAGGAAAUGGUCCGCCGCUUCGGGAUGGUCUCGCGGCCUAUCAGCUUGUUGGUGAGGUAACGGCUCACCAAGGCAGCGACGGGUAGCUGGUCUGAGAGGACGAUCAGCCACACUGGGACUGAGACACGGCCCAGACUCCUACGGGAGGCAGCAGCAGGGAAUAUUGCACAAUGGGCGAAAGCCUGAUGCAGCGACGCCGCGUGCGGGAUGAAUGCCUUCGGGUUGUAAACCGCUUUCAGGAGGGACGAAAAUGACGGUACCUCCAGAAGAAGGCCCGGCCAACUACGUGCCAGCAGCCGCGGUAACACGUAGGGGCCGAACGUUGUCCGGAUUUAUUGGGCGUAAAGGGCUCGUAGGCGGUUUGACAAGUCGGUCGUGAAAACCCGGGGCUCAACCCCGGGACGCCGAUCGAAACUGUCAUGACUAGGGUCCGGUAGAGGUGAGUGGAAUUCUCG